UACGUUCCCGGACCUUGCACACACCGCCCGUCAAGCCAUGGAUGCUGGGUGUACCUAAAGUCGGUAACCGCAAGGAGCCGCCUAGGGUAAAACUAGUGACUGGGGCU
RNAcentral lists this ribosomal RNA (107 nucleotides) under uncultured bacterium. RNAcentral describes it as "partial 16S ribosomal RNA". It matches the Rfam family "Bacterial small subunit ribosomal RNA", at positions 1367 to 1482 of the family's 1533-position model. The record is from RNAcentral.